This 486-nucleotide ribosomal RNA is filed under the name uncultured bacterium. Its description in RNAcentral is "partial 16S ribosomal RNA". It matches the Rfam family "Bacterial small subunit ribosomal RNA", at positions 30 to 507 of the family's 1533-position model. The record is from RNAcentral.
AUUGAACGCUGGCGGCAGGCUUAACACAUGCAAGUCGAGCGGAAACGAUGUAGCUUGCUACAGGCGUCGAGCGGCGGACGGGUGAGUAACGCGUAGGAAUCUGCCUAGUAGUGGGGGACAACAUGUGGAAACGCAUGCUAAUACCGCAUACGCCCUACGGGGGAAAGGAGGGGAUCUUCGGACCUUUCGCUAUUAGAUGAGCCUGCGUAAGAUUAGCUAGUUGGUAGGGUAAAGGCCUACCAAGGCGACGAUCUUUAACUGGUCUGAGAGGAUGGCCAGGCACACUGGGACUGAGGCACGGCCCAGACUCCUACGGGAGGCAGCAGUGGGGAAUAUUGGACGAUGGGCUGAAGCCUAAUCCAGCCAUGCCGCGUGUGUGAAGAAGGCCUUAGGGUUGUAAAACACUUUCAGGGGUGAGGAAGGGUGUUUGGUUAAUAUCCAAACAUUUUGACGUUAGCCCCAGAAGAAGCACCGGCUAACUCUGUG